This 2615-nucleotide long non-coding RNA is filed under the name Calidris pygmaea (Spoon-billed sandpiper). RNAcentral's name for it is "lncRNA (ENSCPGG00000001371.1)". The record is from RNAcentral. Lineage: Eukaryota; Metazoa; Chordata; Aves; Charadriiformes; Scolopacidae.
AUGUCAGGCACAAGAAAUGGUUUAGGAUCCACCCCUGCUGGGGGUGCUUGUUGGCAUGCUCAGGACAGGGUGAGCCUCCUAGGAGUUGGUACACAUGCUUUAUUUCUUUGCUGGGGGUAUAUAUUCUUCGUGAAAGUAAAGACAGCUCUUUUUGGAAGGGGCAAGGAUGAAGUGAGAUGCAAAAAUAAAUGGUUUUCUUUCCUAGGACAAACUAUCUACGCUCCUUUGAACACUGUGGAUAUUUUUAUCAUCAUGGCAUAUAUAGCUCAUCAUGUACAGAAGAGCAUUACUAUAUCUGUGAAAAGCCCGCCAUCCAACUGCAGCGAGGUAACAACCAUUGGCAGGAGGACUGGUUUGUCAGACCAAAAUGAUUAUGAGAAGCUAGAAGUCAUUCUGCAAGACUUGUGUAAAAGUAUCUUCAUACUAAGGAAACAAGCAUGGUGAUGGGCUGCAGGAGCAACCCAAGUCUGUCGUUCCAGAUCCAAAACUGUCAAAUGAAUACUUGGUUUUAACCAACACAAGGGAUGGACAAAAUGGUCAGCAGUGAUGGCCAGAAAAAAAGCACAGUGACAGGGCAAGCACGUAAAGAUGCUGCUCCUCUCCCAAGCAUCAAUUGGUACAGUCCUAAUUACCACUUGUUAGUUAGUAACUGUACAGCUGUAACAUAACGCAACUGCUGAGGAUUAAACACUUCCACUCAAGAGACGCUUCUGAUGUCUUGUUGAUCUGACUUCUUUAAUAUGCUAGGAUGGUGAAGUAUAGAGUACACAAACACAGUUAUCCUCAAAAGGUGGGCCAAAGUGUUCCUGAAUCAUAUUUCCUCUGGAGCACAGGGAUUCCUAGUUCUCAUAAGGACUUGUCCAUGUGUCACAGUAGAAGAUAUCCUUCAGCUAUGAAUGUCUAGCUCUCUUCCAUAUUCUAUACUUCUUCCUGGCACUGUUAGUUCUCUUCUUAAUUUUUCUUUUACUUUUUUUUUUUUUAAUAUUUUUUUUUCUUCCUGGUAAUAAUACAGUUCUUCUUUUCUACUUUUCUACUUUUCCACUUUUUUGAUCUAUUGAAAGAGUUAUGUUAGGGUUCAGUGAGAGGCAUGAACAGAACCUCCUCUUAUGUAUUUUUAGGAUAUUUCCUGGAAUGCCAUACUACUCAAUGUGCUGAGAAAAGGUCUACAAACCCAUCCACAGUGAAAAUACCCCAAGAAUUUGGGGUAUUUGUUAAUGAACAAAAUAUCUCCCUCCAGAUCUCCAUAGAACAAUGGCAGCCAGGUUGAAACAAGAAAUCUCAGUCUUAUAACGGUGUUUUGAUUUGAGUUCACAAAUUUCUCGCUUCGUCUCCCCUGGAGACUUGUGUAUUCCUUGUGGAUUGUGCCCCAGACUAUUUAUUGUGGAUCAUUUACCACCGUUGUAGCAUCUGGGCUGUGAAAGCAUUGGUCAUUCCCUUCAAGAUGCUGUUCUAGUGUAUCACUGAUCUCAGCACUGCACAGCAGUUUCUGGUCACCGACAUGAACAUUUUUGUUAUUUUCAAAUACCAAUUUCAUGCUCCAGAAACCUUAGUGGAUUUCUGUUCCUCUCUGCUGUUUACACUCACCCCUUGCAUCUCUAGUGUAAUCUCUCCCAGCUGCUCUCCUGGCUGUUCCUGUCUUUGGGGGUGAAAAUGCAGAGUGCUUCUGUCCUGCAGCGCGGACACAGCCCUGGUGUGUCUCUCAACAUCAUACCAGCUACACCGAAAUAAGAGAUCUCGUCUGGAAGGCAUCCGGAGCUGUAUUCAUGGUGCAUCCUUUCCUGAUAUUGAAGGACGUUGCUGUAAUUCGCGAGAAAAAAAAAAAGAAAGAAAGACAGAAAAAAAAAAGUCUGAUCUUGUUUUCUCUUACAUUAGAGUGAAUGUGAGGUAACAGGAAAGAUAUUCCCAGGAUGUUUUUUGAUUAAUGCUGCAUGCCUAAGAGCAGAUGUGCAAAUCCUAGGUGUUUCUGCAGUUUGUUGAAGACAAACAUGAGGUGAGAUUGAGAGGUCCCCACGCCGACAGGCAGCCACAAGCCUACCUCUUAUCUUGCCGUGGCCUUGAUCUUUUGGGUCAAUUUACUGCAAAUUUAAAGCAAUCUCUGGUGCAGCAACUGUAUUCGUAACCGUAAAGGCAGGUGGGGUUACAGUAGGGUUUCACAGUGCCCUGGAGCUAGCUGCUUCUCCUCAAAAAAUGAUGAUUGAAACACAAAAACAAACAAACAAACAAAAAAAUCAACAUUACCCCAGGGAAGAAAGGCAGAAGGCAGUGUCCUACCAUUCACUGCAGACAUGAAGACUGCUGCAGGCAACAACAACCAACCUCAUCCAGCAUAGGCUGAAUCUGGCAGAUGACAUGCUCUUGUGGUGGUGCAACCAGAUGGGAUUUAAGGAUGUGCUGGCUGUAUCGCCUCUGCCGUUCAAAGGAGCUUUUCCUUACAGAUGACAAGACAUAGGAAGGGACUUGUUCGUGUAUUGGCAUUUUUGAAUCAUAGUUCUGUACAACAGCAUGUUUCCCAUGUCUAAAUUCCACUCCUCCCCAUGUCCCCCCCAAGUCAUAGACUCCAGAUAAGGCAAUUUGAAAGGUCACAUUCUGGUUAAUAAACCCAGCCAUUUUGCUCA